Molecule: long non-coding RNA, 199 nt
Filed under: Panax ginseng (ginseng)
Lineage: Eukaryota; Viridiplantae; Streptophyta; Magnoliopsida; Apiales; Araliaceae
Description: long non-coding RNA (PGIN_LNC012095)
Source: RNAcentral
UCCUCCUCUAUCAUCCCGUCAAAUACUGACAUGUAGUCAACUUCCUCUGAGUCUCCAGACUCAAUAAUCACUACAUCUGGCUCUGCUGCUAUAGGGUUCGGUAUAACCUCUACUUGGUUCACCGAUUCUUCACUAAUGGUUUGUUCAUUAACAAACAUCUCGUUUACUCCUGACAUCUACACAAAAUAAUUAAGUUGAU